Molecule: ribosomal RNA, 503 nt
Filed under: uncultured bacterium
Lineage: Bacteria
Description: partial 16S ribosomal RNA
Rfam family: Bacterial small subunit ribosomal RNA
Source: RNAcentral
AUUGAACGCUGGCGGCAGGCUUAACACAUGCAAGUCGAGCGGGGUGAUGGUGCUUGCACUAUCACUUAGCGGCGGACGGGUGAGUAAUGCUUAGGAAUCUGCCUAUUAGUGGGGGACAACAUCUCGAAAGGGAUGCUAAUACCGCAUACGUCCUACGGGAGAAAGCAGGGGAUCACUUGUGACCUUGCGCUAAUAGAUGAGCCUAAGUCGGAUUAGCUAGUUGGUGGGGUAAAGGCCUACCAAGGCGACGAUCUGUAGCGGGUAUGAGAGGAUGAUCCGCCACACUGGGACUGAGACACGGCCCAGACUCCUACAGGAGGCAGCAGUGGGGAAUAUUGGACAAUGGGGGGAACCCUGAUCCAGCCAUGCCGCGUGUGUGAAGAAGGCCUUAUGGUUGUAAAGCACUUUAAGCGAGGAGGAGGCUCUUUUGGUUAAUACCCAAGAUGAGUGGACGUUACUCGCAGAAUAAGCACCGGCUAACUCUGUGCCAGCCGCCGCAGUAA